GUAUGAAUGGCCACACGAGGGCUUUACUGUCUCUUACUUCCAAUCCGUGAAAUUGACCUUCCCGUGAAGAGGCGGGAAUACAACAAUAAGACGAGAAGACCCUAUGGAGCUUUAAUUAACCGACCCAAAGAGACCCUACUAAUUAACCGACAGGAACAACAAAUCUCUACCAUGGGCCGACAAUUUAGGUUGGGGUGACCUCGGAGAAUAAAGCAACCUCCGAGUGAUUUAAAUCUAGACUAACCAGUCGAAAGUAUUACAUCACUUAUUGAUCCAAAAACUUGAUCAACGGAACAAGUUACCCUAGGGAUAACAGCGCAAUCCUAUUUUAGAGUCCAUAUCGACAAUAGGGUUUACGACCUCCAUGUUGGA
RNAcentral lists this ribosomal RNA (372 nucleotides) under Panthera onca (jaguar). Its description in RNAcentral is "partial large subunit ribosomal RNA". It matches the Rfam family "Bacterial large subunit ribosomal RNA", at positions 1990 to 2536 of the family's 2925-position model. The record is from RNAcentral. Lineage: Eukaryota; Metazoa; Chordata; Mammalia; Carnivora; Felidae.